AAACGAUAGCUAAUACCGCAUAAGAGUAGAUGUUGCAUGACAUCUGCUUAAAAGGUGCAAUUGCACCACUACCAGAUGGACCUGCGUUGUAUUAGCUAGUUGGUGGGGUAACGGCUCACAAAGGCGACGAUACAUAGCCGACCUGAGAGGGUGAUCGGCCACACUGGGACUGAGACACGGCCCAG
RNAcentral lists this ribosomal RNA (185 nucleotides) under uncultured Streptococcaceae bacterium. Its description in RNAcentral is "partial 16S ribosomal RNA". It matches the Rfam family "Bacterial small subunit ribosomal RNA", at positions 154 to 334 of the family's 1533-position model. Lineage: Bacteria; Bacillati; Bacillota; Bacilli; Lactobacillales; Streptococcaceae. The record is from RNAcentral.